This 1220-nucleotide long non-coding RNA is filed under the name Homo sapiens (human). RNAcentral describes it as "HSALNT0206838". The record is from RNAcentral. Lineage: Eukaryota; Metazoa; Chordata; Mammalia; Primates; Hominidae.
CGUCUACAAAACACCUGCCUCAAAAGUGUCACAGUCACGAAUGACAGGGAAAGACCAGGAAACCCACAGGCUGGGGAAGACUUCAGAGGCAUAAGAGCAGGAUGCACUGAGGCAGAGGCAGGAGAAUCACUUGAACCCAAGAGGCGGAGAUUGCAGUGAGCCGAGAUUGCCCCAUUGCCUGGGCAACAAGAGCGAAACUCUGUCUCAAAAAAGAAAAAAAAAAAAAAAAGCUUUUGUUAAAGCAUUUACAGUCCAUCACCUUAAGUGCAAGCACAUUGCUCGUAGCAUCGCUGAGAACUCCGCAAGGAUUAAAAACCAACAAAAAAGGAUGCAAAUGGCUUACUAGAAGAGAUUUACUAGUGGCGGGGGGAUUCAGUGAAUCCACUAUCUACUCUGAAAGAAACAUGCUCCUUCCAAUCUCUCCUCUGUUGACUGAAAUCCACAGAUGUCCGAGCCAGCCCUCUGCAGUGCAGAUGCAGCCCCCAAAAGACUGGAGCCCCUGCAGUAAGGACAUUCAAGCAGUAGCCAUCAGAGAUGCUUUGAAUAAUCAACUUUCCACCAACGCAGAAGUAAAUGAACGAUAAGCAAUGUAAACACAUAAAGACAGCCAGAAAUUGAACAAAUAAUCACAAACAAUGGGAAGCGAAAUAAGAAAAAAGAAAAGUAAAGAGGACUAAAGGAUUUGGGGUUUCUUUCCGGCUAUUUUUAUGACUGUUUCUUGAAAUCUAGCUAUAUUUUUGAAAGGGGAGUGGGAGAGAAUUUACAUUGACUCCGUGUACUCCAGAUUUUUUUUUUUACUUCUCCGAUUUAACCCUGCACCACUGUGUCUCAAACGAGGAAACUGAGGCUCCAGAAGCCAAACAGCUAGAAAAUGAUAGAGUUGGACUAAAACAAAGGGCUGUUUCUUGGGCUUGGAAGUCCAUCUUCUUUCCAUCAGAUCACAUUGAGAUACCUCUCAUGGGCUAGUUGUUUGAUGAUCAAAUGAGUUUUCAUUCUUGUGUUUACAUGGGAAGUGUAUGUAAAUAAACCAGUCAUUUGGGUCCUCUGAAUUCAUUUUGAAAUCUUUAAGCCUGCUUUGCUCUGUGAUUUUGCUUCACUAUUGGCCUUUGCACUGUGAAAGCACAUGCAUUUCUUUCUAUCCAACAAGCGCAGUAAUACUUACUAAUGUGCCUGUUUUCCAGUAAGCUAUCAGUACAUUUAAAAUAAAAACCUUAAGGUCC